GCAAGUCGAACGGACUCUUCGGAGUUAGUGGCGCACGGGUGAGGAACACGUGGGAAUAUACCCUUAGGUAAGGAAUAAUAUCUGGAAACGGAUACUAAUACCUUAUAAUGACUUCGGUCCAAAGAUUUAUCGCCUAAGGAUUAGCCCGCGCUUGAUUAGAUAGUUGGUGAGGUAAUGGCUCACCAAGUCUACGAUCAUUAGCUGGUCUGAGAGUAUGAUC
RNAcentral lists this ribosomal RNA (220 nucleotides) under uncultured bacterium. RNAcentral describes it as "partial 16S ribosomal RNA". It matches the Rfam family "Bacterial small subunit ribosomal RNA", at positions 57 to 305 of the family's 1533-position model. The record is from RNAcentral.